GGAGUAACAGGCGCACUUAUAGAGCUCCCAGGAAUGUACAAAUGGUGGGGAAAUCUGGAUGAUGAAGGCGAUGAUCCGGAUGAGAGAUUCUUAAGCCAAGGAAUUAGGGUGUUAGGAUCAUGAUUAUUUUGGACAUUUGCAACAUAAUUGGAUGAGACUGGGCUAGGGAAAGAUGAUGAAGCAGGACUUGGAUUAUACGAAGCACCCGGACUCGGUUGGUAAGAUGAGCAGGGGCUUACAGAUGCUGAAUAACCUAUAAUAUCC
RNAcentral lists this unclassified non-coding RNA (264 nucleotides) under Hevea brasiliensis (rubber tree). The record is from RNAcentral. Lineage: Eukaryota; Viridiplantae; Streptophyta; Magnoliopsida; Malpighiales; Euphorbiaceae.